GGAUAACCGAGAGAAAUCCCGCCUAAUACAACAUAAUGCCGGGAGGGGACAUCCCCUGCCGGCCAAAGGGGGCGACCCCGGUCACGGAUGGGCAUGCGGCGCAUUAGGUAGUUGGUGGGGCAACGGCCCACCAAGCCGACGAUGCGUAGGGGUUCUGAGAGGAAGGUCCCCCACAUUGGAACUGAGACACGGUCCAAACUCCUACGGGAGGCAGCAGUGAGGAAUAUUGGUCAAUGGCCGGAAGGCUGAACCAGCCAAGUCGCGUGAGGGAAUAAGGCCCUACGGGUCGUAAACCUCUUUUGCCAGGGAGCAAUGCCGUCCACGUGUGGACGGAAGGAGAGUACCUGGAGAAAAAGCAUCGGCUAACUCCGUGCCAGCAGCCGCGGUAAUACGGAGGAUGCGAGCGUUAUCCGGAUUUAUUGGGUUUAAAGGGUGCGUAGGCGGCCUGCCAAGUCAGCGGUAAAAUUGCGGGGCUCAACCCCGUACAGCCGUUGAAACUGCCGGGCUCGAGUGGGCGAGAAGUAUGCGGAAUGCGUGGUGUAGCGGUGAAAUGCAUAGAUAUCACGCAGAACCCCGAUUGCGAAGGCAGCAUACCGGCGCCCGACAGACGCUGAGGCACGAAAGUGCGGGGAUCAAACAGGAUUAGAUACCCUGGUAGUCCGCACAGUAAACGAUGAAUGCUAGCUGUCCGGGGGGAUUGACCCCUGGGU
Molecule: ribosomal RNA, 710 nt
Filed under: uncultured bacterium
Lineage: Bacteria
Description: bacterial SSU rRNA
Rfam family: Bacterial small subunit ribosomal RNA
Source: RNAcentral